RNAcentral lists this ribosomal RNA (489 nucleotides) under uncultured Acidobacteriota bacterium. RNAcentral describes it as "bacterial SSU rRNA". It matches the Rfam family "Bacterial small subunit ribosomal RNA", at positions 224 to 704 of the family's 1533-position model. Lineage: Bacteria; Pseudomonadati; Acidobacteriota. The record is from RNAcentral.
GAGGGGCCCGCGCCUGAUUAGCUAGUUGGUGAGGUAACGGCUCACCAAGGCGACGAUCAGUAGCCGGCCUGAGAGGGCGGACGGCCACACUGGGACUGAGACACGGCCCAGACUCCUACGGGAGGCAGCAGUGGGGAAUUGUUCGCAAUGGGCGCAAGCCUGACGACGCAACGCCGCGUGGAGGACGAAGAUCUUCGGGUCGUAAACUCCUGUCGAGCGGGACGAACGCCUUGCGGGUGAAUAACUCGUGAGGGUGACGGUACCGCUAAAGGAAGCCCCGGCUAACUCCGUGCCAGCAGCCGCGGUAAUACGGGGGGGGCAAGCGUUGUUCGGAAUUACUGGGCGUAAAGGGCUCGUAGGUGGCCAACUAAGUCAGACGUGAAAUCCCCAGGCUCAACUUGGGAACUGCGUCUGAUACUGGAUGGCUUGAAUUCGGGAGAGGGAUGCAGAAUUCCAGGUGUAGCGGUGAAAUGCGUAGAUAUCUGGAGG